AUUGAACGCUGGCGGCAGGCCUAACACAUGCAAGUCGAGCGGAUGAAGGGAGCUUGCUCCUGUAUUCAGCGGCGGACGGGUGAGUAAUGCCUAGGAAUCUGCCUGGUAGUGGGGGAUAACGUCCGGAAACGGGCGCUAAUACCGCAUCCGUCCUUAGGGAGAAAGUGGGGGAUCUUCGGACCUCACGCUAUCAGAUGAGCCUAGGUCGUAUUAGCUAGUUGGUUGGGUAAAGGCCUACCAAGGCGACGAUCCGUAACUGGGCUGGGAGGAUGAUCAGUCACACUGGAACUGAGACACGGUCCAGACUCCUACGGGAGGCAGCAGUGGGGAAUAUUGGACAAUGGGCGAAAGCCUGAUCCAGCCAUGCCGCGUGUGUGAAGAAGGUCUUCGGAUUGUAAAGCACUUUAAGUUGGGAGGAAGGGCAGUAAGUUAAUCCCUUGAUGUUUUGACGUUACCAACAGAAUAAGCACCGGCUAACUUCGUG
RNAcentral lists this ribosomal RNA (484 nucleotides) under uncultured bacterium. RNAcentral describes it as "partial 16S ribosomal RNA". It matches the Rfam family "Bacterial small subunit ribosomal RNA", at positions 30 to 507 of the family's 1533-position model. The record is from RNAcentral.